RNAcentral lists this ribosomal RNA (467 nucleotides) under uncultured bacterium. Its description in RNAcentral is "partial 16S ribosomal RNA". It matches the Rfam family "Bacterial small subunit ribosomal RNA", at positions 28 to 507 of the family's 1533-position model. The record is from RNAcentral.
GACGAACGCUGGCGGCGUGCUUAACACAUGCAAGUCGAACGGAAAGGCCCUGCUUUUGUGGGGUGCUCGAGUGGCGAACGGGUGAGUAACACGUGAGUAACCUGCCCUCGACUUUGGGAUAACUUCAGGAAACUGGGGCUAAUACCGGAUAGGAGCUCCUGCUGCAUGGUGGGGGUUGGAAAGUUUCGGCGGUUGGGGAUGGACUCGCGGCUUAUCAGCUUGUUGGUGGGGUAGUGGCUUACCAAGGCUUUGACGGGUAGCCGGCCUGAGAGGGUGACCGGCAACAUUGGGACUGAGAUACGGCCCAGACUCCGACGGGAGGAAGGAGUGGGGAAUAUUGCACAAUGGGCGGAAGCCGAUGCAGCCACGCCGCGUGCGGGAUGACGGCCUUCGGGUUGUAAACCGCUUUCGCCUGUGACGAAGCGUGAGUGACGGUAAUGGGUAAAGAAGCACCGGCUAACUACGUG